This 253-nucleotide ribosomal RNA is filed under the name uncultured bacterium. Its description in RNAcentral is "partial 16S ribosomal RNA". It matches the Rfam family "Bacterial small subunit ribosomal RNA", at positions 524 to 776 of the family's 1533-position model. The record is from RNAcentral.
UACGGAGGGUGCGAGCGUUGUCCGGAAUCACUGGGCGUAAAGGGCGCGUAGGCGGCCUGAUAAGUAGGGGGUGAAAUCCUGCGGCUUAACCGCAGGGCUGCCUUCUAAACUGUCAGGCUGGAGCACAGUAGAGGCAGGUGGAAUUCCCGGUGUAGCGGUGGAAUGCGUAGAGAUCGGCAAGAACACCAGUGGCGAAGGCGGCUCACUGGCCCGGUACUGACGCUGAGGUGCGAAAGCGUGGGGAGCAAACAGG